CCUAUACCACCCAGUAUGGAAAUUGCUUUACUAUUAAUUGUGACUGGAUACCAAAAGCUAUUGUCAGAAACUUAUCUAGCAUACAAAUAAUAAAUGGAGAGAAAAAUAUUCAUAUGUAUUUCUAUUUAUACCUGGACACAAAUGUCACUUAUCCUAUGAAUAAUGAGGCACUUAUUACGCUUAGCUCACCAGAUUCAAUUCCUGAUAUUAUCAAUGAUGCAUAUUCUGUGGAGCCUGGGAAAACACAUACUUUUUCUGUAUCUAAGAUUAUCUCACACCUGUUACCACCCCCCUAUGCCACUAACUGUACUGACUAUGCUAAGAUGGGAAAGACAUCUUUGCGGCCUGGCUUAUUAACA
This is a long non-coding RNA of Limulus polyphemus (Atlantic horseshoe crab), 359 nucleotides long. RefSeq lists it as uncharacterized. NCBI's taxonomy places the organism in Eukaryota, Metazoa, Arthropoda, Merostomata, Xiphosura, Limulidae. The record is from RefSeq and is a predicted model, not a curated record. The transcript has 3 exons.